CUCGUUGAAACACCAGUUCUCGUGCGAUCACCGAAGAUAAGCAACAUCGAUCCUGAUCAGUACCAAGAUGUGUGAGCGCAUCGGGACACUAGGUAAUGUCU
This is a non-coding RNA of Acanthosepion pharaonis, 101 nucleotides long. NCBI's taxonomy places the organism in Eukaryota, Metazoa, Mollusca, Cephalopoda, Sepiida, Sepiidae. The record is from the annotation of a GenBank genome assembly.